This 497-nucleotide ribosomal RNA is filed under the name uncultured bacterium. RNAcentral's name for it is "partial 16S ribosomal RNA". It matches the Rfam family "Bacterial small subunit ribosomal RNA", at positions 28 to 507 of the family's 1533-position model. The record is from RNAcentral.
GAUGAACGCUGGCGGCGUGCCUAAUACAUGCAAGUCGAGCGAACAGACGAGGCGCUUGCUCCUCUGACGUUAGCGGCGCACGGGUGAGUAACACGUGUAUAACCUACCUAUAAGACUGGGAUAACUUCGGGAAACCGGAUCUUAUACCGGAUAAGCUAUUGAACCGCGUGGUUCGAUAGUGAAAGACGGCGUUGCUGUCACUUAUAGAUGCAUACGCGCUGUAUUAGCUAGUUGGUACGGUAACGGCUUAUCAAGGCAAGCAUGCGUAGACGAGGUGAGAGGGUGGUCGCCGACCUUGGAACUGGGACACGGACAAGACGACUACGGGAGGCAGCAGUAGGGAACGGUCGGCAGUGGGCGAAAGCAUGGCGGAGCGACGCGGCGUGAGUGAUGAAGGUCUUCGGAUCGUAAAACUCUGUUAUUAGGGAAGAACAGAUGUGUAAGGAACUAAGCAGGUAUUGACGGUACCGGAUCAGAAAGCAACGGCUAACUACGUG